GACGAACGCUGGCGGCGUGCUUAACACAUGCAAGUCGAACGAUGAUGCUCCAGCUUGCUGGGGUGGAUUAGUGGCGAACGGGUGAGUAACACGUGAGUAACCUGCCCCCUUCUUCGGGAUAAGCUUGGGAAACUGGGUCUAAUACUGGAUAUUCUGCAAUUGUCGCAUGGUGGUUGUGGGAAAGAUUUUUUGGUGGGGGAUGGGGUCGCGGCGUAUCAGCUUGUUGGUGGGGUGAUGGCCUACCAAGGCGUCGACGGGUAGCCGGCCUGAGAGGGUGACCGGCCACACUGGGACUGAGAUACGGCCCAGACUCCUACGGGAGGCAGCAGUGGGGAAUAUUGCACAAUGGGCGCAAGCUUGAUGCAGCGACGCCGCGUGAGGGAUGACGGCUUUCGGGUUGUAAACCUCUUUCGAUGGGGAACAAGGCCAUAUUUUUGUGUGGUUGAGGGUACCUGUAUAAGAAGCGCCGGCUAACUACGUG
RNAcentral lists this ribosomal RNA (481 nucleotides) under uncultured bacterium. RNAcentral describes it as "partial 16S ribosomal RNA". It matches the Rfam family "Bacterial small subunit ribosomal RNA", at positions 28 to 507 of the family's 1533-position model. The record is from RNAcentral.